GUGAGAUCUUGGUGCUUCGUCUUCGACACUCGGCAGCGAUGAACCAGCACGGCAGGACACAGCCGACAGGAGACGUAGAGCGCGGCGGACUGGCGGAGGCCGGAGAGGCAGAGAGCAGCUUCGAUUUGGGAAUUGGGACUUGGGACUUGGGAGUGUUAGUGCUGUGAAAGCCCUAGGUGACGGCAGUCACGGCACUAUGCAAUAUUGCAAAUUUGCAAUGGUUGUUUUCUCACUUUUCAAUUUUCAUCAGCUGAAGAUGAAAUCCGACUUUUUCCGAAUGAAGUGAUUUUGUAAUUUUUAAUUUACAAAUUGGGGCUCCUAAAUUAUAAUACAUUCAUUAUGCUCCUCAAUGAUUUAAAAAUUAUUACUAAUUUGAUCCCCAAAUUUAUUCAUAAUUGAACACAUUACUUAUGUUCAAAUCAUUUUGUGGUUUAAUUGGCAUUUAUUUGAUCACUUAUACCUAAAAUCCUUGGUAUAUGAUUUAAAAAACACAUAAAAAGUGAUUAAUUUAAAUUAAUUUAGUUAGUAGUUACAAUGAAUUUAUAAUUUACAAUGAUUAAUAAUAAGUAAUAUUAGUUACAAACUUACAAAUUACAAUGAAUCAAUGACCAGUGAUAAAUUACAUUAGUUACAAACUUAUAACUUAUUUUAAAUCAAAAUAAAACUUAUUUACUUGAUUUGCAACUCACAUGUAUUCACUUACACUGUUUAGUUAUUUUGUCUAUACUUAAAGCCUUAAGAUUAGUAAAUAAAUAAUAUAAACUUUUAACUUAUUUGAUCACUUAUACCUACAAUCCUUAGUUUAUGAUUUAAGGAACACAUAAAAAGUGAUUAAUUUAAACUAGAAUAAACCUUAGACUGUACAAUGGUUAGUAAUAAACUCAAUGAGACAAGAGCCCUAUGGUAUCAACAGCUCUAUCUACAGAUGUAAACUCGUCAAACGCAGAUAACAAGAUUAUAUCUUGUGUAGUGCAAGUUUUUUUUGGGUACAUCACGGAGAAGGGCGACAUCCACAAUUUGGCAAAUUGGAUGCCUGCUGGUAAACGUUGAAAACCUAACAAGUAAAGUCGUUAUUACUUUAUGCACGAAUGGAUUAAAGAUUGUGCCCAGAAGAAUAGGGCCAGGUGCCAUUUUUCUUCUGAAGUUCAAGUUGGUCAAGUGAAGCUAAUGGAAAUUUGAAGACAUGAAUCAUGACUAAUUUGAAAAUUUUUCAAAAAAUAAACAUGUGCAUUAAAAAAAAAAGAACAGAACAUCUACAAGCAUAAAAUUUGAAGCACGUCGAUAGCUUAAUCCAAAAUGACUGGCAAAACACAUGGACCCAUGCGUAUAAGUUCACCCUCAUGCCAUGUAACUAAGAUAAUUUUGAUUGUCUUAUUAAGUAAAGUGGCCCCAACUUGAAGUUCCCGAAUCAUCAAAGUGCCUACGUCAAGAGAAAUUAAUGAUAGAUACCAGGAUGUGAGCAAUGUCAUAUUAAUUAAACAUAUAAACUAAAGCAAUACUUCCAAACAAAACUCAAGGCUUCAAUGUGACUUGAAGUUUGAAAUGCAUGUCCGCUUGGUCUAGAAGGCACUACAUAGAUUUAGUGUAGUAUCCUAUGAAAAGGAGACAAAGCAAACCCUAAACAGAGAAAAGGCCAGAAAUGGAAUAUCCAUUUGGACAGUCAAGAAUCUUCCUAGCUUAGGGCCGUGGCAGCACUUAGGAGACAGUAACAACUAAGGUGAACUCUGAUUUUUGCCCACAAAGAAGUAAGAAGCUCAUGUGGCAAUGGAGGAUCCUUUCCAAAGGAUCUCUCUUGAUGGAGUAGUUCAGCACAUGCCCAAUUUAAAGGCUUGCAAUUUAGAAACCACCACACUCAAACAGUAAGCAUCAAAGCCCAAGUAUCCUAUGAAGGGGAGGGACUCCUUGAACCAGCUGCCCUGCAUGAACAUCAUGUCAACCAGUGAUGUUUCUAAGCCAGUGAACAUGAACAAAAACCAAUCUCAAUUUGGCAGGUUUUGGAGCCCUUCAGAGUGCCCUCGACUAGACUAGUCAAGCUGUUUCAACUCGAAUGCACAACUGUCAACUUUCCUUUGCAACUUGCCUCCAGUAGAAGAUAAAGUUAUAGAUCUUGAUCAGGUCAAAGCUUGCUUGAUCAGUGGUUUACUUAGUUUCCUCUUAUACACAUCCAUAAAUCCCAUUUCUUAAUCUUGAUCCAUAUCAUUUGAGUAGGAUAUGAGAAUCAUAUUUUUCUGUCCAAGCUUUUUUUGCAGUCUUCUUUUACACCUUUACAUUUUGUAUCUUCUCCAAUCCCCUUCUUCCAGUUAAUUUUGUUUUGCCAGUUUCUUUACUUUUUCUUGAAUAGCUACCCUAACCUAAAACUUUAUUGCAUUUUUCUAGUUUUAUACUUGCAGAUGUCAGCCAUAACUAUCUAUUUUCACUUCAUCAAUAUGCCGCUUUGGAUACACCAGCUUUCCAAUAGAAGCCAAGGAAACUAAGGGUUGCCCAGAAUUUUCAAACAACUUUAGAAGAAGCAAAUAUUUAUUGAACUCUCACUGAUCCAAUCAACAAAAGAUUCUUCAGUCCUUUUGAAAAAAUAACAAUUGAAAAAAAAAUUCCUUUGACAAGCAAACUAUUUUUUUUUUUUUGAAUAACAAACAGCCACGCAAUUAUCCCUUAGAAAGGGAUCUUUAGGCCCAAGGAAAACAGCAUCCUAAUGACUCUUUGGAUGUAUAAUCCAUUUCCAAAAAUUUUCACUUAUUCUCCAUUUUCCUAAAUGUAUUAAAACUUCAAACUUAUGUUUUUCUCUCCACAAAUCUGCAUCUAGGGUUUUGCAAACAUAAAACAAGUAUAUCUUUCCACAAAAUGCCCAUACAAAUUGUUCUUCUACUCAGAUCAACAAGUCUGACAAGAAAUAUUACAGCCAGUAAUACAGGUUAUUGAAUAAGAAAAUUGGAUGCGACUGCAGAAGUAUGAUCUUAAGCUACAAAAAAGAUCAACUUCAUCAAGGCCAAAAUGAUUGAAAACUAACUGAAACCUAUCCUAGAUAGCUAAGGGCUUAGUUAACAGCUAACGUGUCUAUACAAGGAAAACUAAAGCUUCAGAUUUGCUAUUCCCCUAAUUCCAGAUUAUUUCCCUUUCUCUUCAUUCAUGUCCCCAUGCAAUUAAAAGAAGAAUAAACAAGAAAGGAAAAUACAUACGCUGAUGAAAACAAAAACUACAAAUUACAAACUCCUUCCUCAAUUUAUAUCUGAGUCCAAGAAAACAUAUGGCCGCUUCACCAAAAAUGUAAAGUGCAUAAAUUUUACACUUCAUUCAAUCUUAUCUCCCUCAUUUCCAAGCUUAUUAUCCAAACCCCCAAACCGCGCCCCCCCCCUUCCCAACGCAUCCAAAAUCAAAUCUACAUGGCACCAACAUCCCACAAGAGCACAAAUCAAAAUUCAAUCUUGAAUAGAUUCCAGACACGAAUGCUAAAACCCUAAUGAAAAACAGCCCAUAUAUCCCAAUAAACAAUCCAAGAGCAUCAAGCUGAAUGAAAAAAAAACAAGCAAAUGAGCAAACGAAACUCAACUAGAAAUCAUUAAACCAUCAUAACAUUUCCAGAACCAGAUUGAAACCACAAAAAUCAAAAACACACAAAAAAACAAGAAAGGAAAAACACGUACGCCACAAACACUUGAAUGCCAUUGAAAGAAUGGUUUAAUACCUCUAAAAAAUUUAAUCAAAUAAAAUCAAAGACAAUGGGACUUUGAAUUAGUGAAUUGGUGGUAGUUGGGCGAAUUAGAAAAAUAGAUAAAAAUGAGGGGGGGAAAUUUGGUAAAAACUGGGGAAAUGGUGGUUUUGGUGGCGGUGGUGGUGGUGGUGGCGGUGAAGGAGGAGCCAAGGGGGAGGAAGAUUUAGCAUGUCAGGAAAAGCGUUACCAUCAGUGUAUACUUGGAAACAAGUAUGUCAUUUUCAGGGUGCGCCGCGUCAGCAUUUGGAACAUAAUCUUUAACCCAACCCGGGAACUUGGCUCAGUUUUUUUUUUUUUUUUUUUUCCUGCUCGGGUUACAACUACUGCAAUUCUUCUUCUUAUUAUUUAUUUAUAUUUUUACGAGUGAUAGAUGAGAUUUAAGAAGCAGGAAUAAAAAGAAAAUUAAAACUCAUGACAGUUAAUUCAUGAGACUUCAACAAUCAAGACUUUCUUGAUUAUUAAUUACACAUAAUUUGAUAAGUCAUUGAUUUUUUUUCCAUAUUUUUAACGAACAUGUUAAUUAAUCAAUUCCUAUAAAUUAGAUCAGAUUUGGCAGUUUUUCUUAUGCAGCAACGCCCGACAUGGCACAAGCGCGAAGGGGUUCAAGACUCAGUUUUCUUUUUAUGAGGGCUAAAAUUACUUAUUUUAGCUUGUUUAAAGUACUAAUACUAUAUUUUCCUACAUUUCCAUCCUAAAUUACUGCUUAAUCCGAGUAAUUAUUAUCAUUUUAAAUAGAAACUGAAUUCUAUCUUUUGCAAGUUAUUGUUACCUUUUUUGCCCAAGUUUUGAGUCGUGUAGUUUUUUAACUCUCAAUUGCAUUUAAUAGUAUCGACCAACUUCGGGCCAUGUCAGCUAUGCAAUUUAUUUUCUUUUCGUAUUUAGGCGAAUUAUAUAGAUUUCACUUCGCAAUUUUUUGUUAGCGAGCAUUGAAAGGCUAUGAAGUGCGUUUUCCAUUUGGAAACACUAAAGACUAGUGAUAGCAUGACAAUGAAAAGAAAAUUGGAAAAAAAAAAGAUUAAGAUAAGAAAAUCAGUGGCUCAAAUUGGGGCAUAUUAGUGUUGAAUUUCAGUUUGAAUCUUUUUAUUGUUGAUAGUAUUUUGAUGAGCAUUAAUUUUUUCUACCAGUGGAAAUGUGGGAUUUAAGAAGCGGAAAAAGGGUAAUUAUUAGGGAAUUAGAAUUUAAAAUCUAUAUGUUUUAAGGCAUCAGUUUUAACGAUUAAAUCAAAAUUUUUUUGAUAGUUAAAUGAAAGCUCUUAACUUUAUUUCAACCACCUUUUUUUUUAAUCUUUGACAUUUAGGAGAUGUAAAAUUCUAAGAAAAACAGGGAUAAGCUCAAGCAUUUAAAGAUACGAAGCGUUGAUCAUCAAGCAGACGAGCUUCAAUACCUUCAAAUUCAAUGUUUGUAGUAAAAGACAAUGAAAAUUCUUUUUUUUUCUUUUCCACUUUUAAGGGGGAGGGGGGGGGGGAAGUCAAUCGGUCAAUACUCCAUACAUAGUCGCUUCCAAUUCAUGAGACAAAAACCCAAUUGAAACCAUUUGGGCCUCCAAGACCUUGUAUGGACGAGCUCACAUCUUUGACCACCCCACCGAAUAACUUAAAUUAAAAAGAUCUUUGGCAGCCCAAUCAUGCAGGCAAUUUACCCCCAGAGUCCAGGAGGAGAAUGGCACCGGUUUGCCGGCCCUAAACCGUACUUAACUGAAAUAUAUAUAUAUAUAUUUGUUUUUGGAAACUAAUUUUAUUGUUAUUAUUUUUUAAAUAUUUGUUAAAAUGUUUUUCUAGCAAAGGCGGGAUAGGAUUUAAGAAAUGAAAAGAGGGGAAGAGGAAUCUAAAUCUAGGACCUCUCACUUCUCAAAAGAGUUUAGAUUAUGGUACUAUAACUUAUGGUGCCAGUGUUUUCAGAUAUGUAAAUAAAAGCAUGCGUAAUAUAGAAUUUAAAAUGGGUAAUUGCAUUGCCAAAAGUCGAAUGACAAUGGGAAUUUAAAAAAAAAAAAAAAAAAGUCCUAUCACACAAGGAAAAAAGAAGGGGAAAAGAAAAACAAAAAGAAGAGCACCAAUGCUAUACUUAUAAGGUGACCAAACACCUACAAAGGCAACCCAAAGAACAGGAGUGAGUUGUCAGAAAUUGCUUUGCAUAUAUACGUGAUGAUGAAUGAAAUGAACUUCAAAAUAUAAGCAAGUCCCUUCUCGUGCAUCAGUAGUAGUUAGCUCUGAAUUUAGAUACACUGUUCAGUUGACUUGACACAAAUAUUGAGGGUGUUUGGAUAUCUAUUAUUUGGAGUAUUAUUUGAUAAAAUAUUAUAGAUAAUGAAAAAAUCUGUCAGAUAACAAAAAAAUAUUUGGACAACUUUGGUGGCAAUUCUUCACUUUCCACGUCCUCAUUGCCAGGUUGGACCACGUGGAUACAUUACUUUAGUCGAUAUGAGGAGGGAUAAAAAAAUUGGCCAGCUUUCUCAUGCAGACGUACUUUAGCUUCAUGCAGCUCAGUGACCCGUAAUUUGCCUUGACGAAUGCCAGGGUUCUAAACACUGGGGCAAAGCGGAACUCGUCCAAGUUUCAUGCAGCUGAGAAGUUAGCCACACAGAGCAACUACUUCCUAAAGGGCCAUCAGGCAACUAAGCCAUUCGUGUAAACCUCCAUUCCUUUUCCUGCGGACCAGUUUGAUGACUCAGACAAUGCAUACAACUAGAAGAGCAUCAGGCAACUAGGAAGUAUCCAUUGACGGAUGUGAUGUUGGAGCUCUUGACAUCUAAGGUUUAUUAUAGAUUUGCCGCAGACCAUAAGAUGAUGUAAACCUGGGAAUAUAAGAGCAGAUGUUGCAAAAAUGCAUGCAGUCGUUAAAUUCUUGGAGCAGGAGGCAAGCAGUUUGAGAGAAAUGAAACAUUCAACACACAAUACAAACUUAUAAUUACAUUACACAAGCUGGAGCUGCCGUCUCUAUCUUUUACUAGCCACCAUUUCCACCUCGAAACUAAUACGGCAGCUUGAACUAAGUACAACAAAACAUACACCUAAAAAAAGGCGGAGGAAUAUAUGUAUCCUCUUCCACAUUGAACCUAUUAAGUUGCACAACUUCCCAUAGAUUCAGGGUGGUGUUUAUUAGUUGGCCAUUGCGAAGUUCCAAUGUCUACUACCUUCGCCUGCGUGAACCGGCAUGCAUUUGAUUAGCCAUUUCUUCUCUCAUUGCAUUCCAAGCUGCUAUCUCAUGUGGGGGCACAGCCAAUGGUUGUAUAUUCGGGUAUGGAUUACCACCAGCUUCGGCUUGUACUUGUAUGUCCUCUUGUUCAUAUUGCAUGAAGUGAUCAUCGGAGGGUUGAGUUUCCCUUAAGAAAUUGUGCAAUGCACAACAUGCAAUAACUACAUUGAUUUGUGUUUGCAUAUAGGAAUAUGGGACAGGUCCCUUCAAAUACGCAAAUUGUUGUUUCAAGACACCAAAAGAGCGCUCAACUACAUUGCGAAGUUGGGAGUAACGGGUAUUAAAUAGCUCCUUUGGUCCUUGCCUCGACCACGUCCUUGCCCAACACGUGAAACACGUCCUCCUUUAAAUGGUGCUAAGAAUCCCGGCAUCAUCUUGUAUGCCGGAUCCACCAGGUAGUACUUGCCUAAACAUAAAAAAUUGUGUGGCUAAGCUUCUGAGUUGGAUAUUGAAAAUGGUGAAACUUUAAGGGAGGCCUAAGAAUUCUCAUAAUUGGGAUGUCCACAAUAAUUCGACUAUUGAGGCUUAAGAAAGAAAUGGAAGUGGAAUACUUUGGAUAUCUAUUUUUGUGGCUGACAAGGAUAGGACACGGGUACGACUCUUUGAAAAAAAAUUACUAUGCUUCACAUAUUUGAGAAUCUGUUUCGCUUGGUAGCAACCCUGUGCAGAAACUCAAAGGUCAACUCUUUCUACAUUGUAAACUUUAAAAACCUGCCACUAGCCAUACGAAACUGAGACAUGUUAUUCCAUUUUAGUUUGAUAUGAGAACAGGCACUACGGUCUGCAGUCUAAAAGGAAGAUGUGACUACUACAAGAAGACGGGUUUGUAUUCCUUAGUCUAUUUGCCAUUCAUUUUUCCUUUCCACCUAUUACUGGAAGCACGUCUAAGAAUUUAUUGAAUGCACAAUAAAAAAUUUGGGAGCAGUUAAGGCAGACCAAGGGAUGCCACUUAUAAGUACUCUAUGGACAGCAACACACGUAGGUCCAUGUUUGUUCGGCCUAACCAGAAAUAAACACAAGCUGUCGAACCUGGGGGUGAACUGGGAAGUCAGUGUGCAUUCGCAGUCACUUUCAAAGACCGCGAGCAUCGUGUGUGCUUCCCUCCCAUCCGGCAUAGACAUACACAAAGCGCAUGUCAUGGUCAAUACAGCUAAAACGUUCUGAGAUUGGGUCCCAUGUCUAUUAGUGUAGGCCAUUUGCUCAUUUGUGGGCACCGAAGCAGGGAUAUGAGUGCCAUCCAUAGCGCCAAUACCUCUACAUUUUGUUCGAGUAAAUCAACUGGCCAUUGACAUGUACUAUUUGCAAAUCGUGAAACCUUCAUUAAAAAAUCAUACAGUGGCUAUUACGAACUUCUAAAGCAGCAGUUUGGCAAAUAUAAGCACCAUAAGCAAGACUUGGUUCGUCUAUUAGUGUGAAAGCAAUAUAUGUAAAUAUUUGCAUUGAAAUAGCCAUCUUUUUCGAAACAAUAAAUGUUUGAGGAGGUAUCCCAACAUUAACCUUAAACAAUGAUAAUACUUGGUACUAUAUCAUAUUCUUGGAUGCACGUCAUUUGUUUCUCUUGGUCGAAUAAUCCUUUGCACAAAUCUACACAGUCCCAACAACACUUCUGCUACAUUUCUGUGGAUAGUUUCAGUAGAGUGUUGAAAUCUCUCUGCCACUACGCAGGUACGCGUGCUAUGGCUCAGCAUGACUAGAGUCAUAGCCAGUGAUUCCUCAAUAGACACAUGCUUGUGCGGAUUUUGCGGGACGUAGUUAUUUUGAACCAGAAUGUCACAAAGUCUCAUGAAAUUGUCAACCGUUAUUCGACAAUUCUCCAAUAUGCGAAGCGGGUGACCAAGGAUUAGCUCUCGCACCCACUUCCAACCAGGCAUAUCUCAGUUCGGCAGGGUACUUUGAUAAGAGGCCCAUCAUAUUGUUGGCUUCAGGUGCAAAAAGCAAAAUUACUGCAACAUUGAGAAUUGCCUCAUCAUCAUUCUCAGAACUGGUGCCAUACGAAGUUGAGAAGUUUGGGAUGAAGUUUGCCAUGUAGGAACUGGACAAAUGUUGCUUACGGUUUCACGAAUGGAAAAGUAGGGAAAAAAUCAAGGACUUACUAGUGGAAGAAAGAUAUACCAAGUUUUGGAAAGCUGGUGAAAGAAAGAUGGUUGGUGGAUGUCUGUUGCAUGGUAGGACUGUAUUCUCACCUGAUUUUAAAGGGCGAGAAUGGACAUGAAUUUGAUAAAAGCUGAUGUUCUCGAAACUAAUUGGGAUGCACAUGGAUCAGAGUUGUCUGUACCUCACUCGUCAAGUUAUUCUCUUACAAGUCCCUUUUUUAAAGAUGUAUAAGGCCCGUGAAUUAAAGUAGCUAUCUAAAAAAGCUCACCUUUUUAUAAGAGUAAACUUCAUAAAGACCUACAAGAAUGGAACUAUUCUUGACAGUGUGCACUUUAAACACUCUGAGAAUAUCUCGUCUGUCCAUGUCAAAAGAUCACACAUAUUGGGUAUGUUGGAGUUAUUCUCUUUAUAUGCACAAGAUUCGGGUUUCACACAUUAUUGUCCUUAGAAGUCCCGUUGCUGUAAUCAUCCAGAUAUAUGUUUAUCUCACAUAAAGGCAAUUUUUUCCAAUUCUUUUUUUAUUGAACCAGAGAGUAUGCUACUCUCGAGUGCUUUGAAAAAUAUGCUAUCUAAUAAAACAAAAACAACACCUAAGCUUUUUCAUAAGGUGGGAAGUGAGCAUAUGCUUCAUCUGCUCAGAAACGUGGGGAGGCAAUAAAAUCAAUUUUUCAGGAUUUGUGUUGUUCUUUCCAUGCCUAUUGGUUUGACGUAUGCAAAUGUCUCAGUUCCAUAAUGGCUGCACCGAAUGUCACCUAUGAGUUAUGUCAACUUGGCAUUGAAGAGCUACUGUAGUACUUUAGUUAGGCUUAAAUAGCAAAGAGUUAGCAUGUAAUACUUGAGUUAGGCGCUACAUUGUAGUACUUUAGUCCAAAAAAUUGAAUUGAAGCAUGUAAUAUGAAAAGCAGUCGACUUUUCUAUUAAGAAAAUGCAGGCAAAUCCUUUAUAAAGAAAUUCCUAUUCAGCUUAAAAUCCAGGUAAUACACAAUCCGAAGAGGUACUCUCCAUUUCAAUCUCCUUCAAUAAUGGUAAGGAGUCUCUUAAUGGCCUGAGCUAGUACUCACAAUUUUGCAAGCAGAAUGGAUACAAGAAUAAACAAGAGGAAGCUUAGGCAAAAUGAAAUUAAAGAAUUCAGACGUAUACAUACUUAUGGUCUAACCAUCUCACAAGAAGAAAAAACAGCAUGCAAUUAUUUACAAAUAAGAAAUUUCUAUGCAACUACUUACCAGUGCUCUUCGAAAAGGAGUCUCCUAGCAACUGACAAAUUGAAUACUCAUACAAAACAGCAUACAAAGAUAGCCCUAAUCUCCGCCAAAUUAACAGCCCUUAAAUUCAUGAAAUUAGCACAUGCAAAUCAAUCCAGGUUCAACAACAUAUAUACCAAGUUUAUGCCACUUUCAAACCAACAUAUUUAACAAACUUGCACAGUUAAACAUUCCAAAGUUUACACCAAAUGACUGCCCGUGGGAGCAUAAACAGCACUUAUCAAAAUACUAAACCAAGCAUUUUGGGUCAUAGCAAACCAAGCAAAAUCUGAUUUUUGACAACCAUGAAUGGCCACAACAUUAAAAAAGAACUUACUAGCCGAUAACGAAAAUUUAUAAAAGUCAUUCAACAAAUAGUAAACAAGAACUACGGGCAGCCAAUAAACACCGAAACUUCACUUCCCCUCCAUCUUCGGGAUGAUAAACAUCUCAAUUCAGGUUAACUGCUCAUCCCUAUUGAAGCUAAGAAACAGAGCUCUAAACUCUUCAUCCAGCAACUCCUUCAACAAGAACAUAUGCAGCCGCUUCUCCAAACCCAAGCUUUUGACAGGUUUUUUGGCAGCAGCUAUGGAAUAUUUCUCUCUGGACUCUUUUUCAUUUGCCGCAAUACAAGAGAAUCUGUUGAAAUUGCUAAGCGCUUCUUGGUAGUUUUCAGAGCCCGAUCGUCGAGACUUCGCACCUCUAGAUCGAUCAUUCUCAUAGCUAUAAGCACCACUAGAAAUUGGACGCUUGCCAGGAUUUCUUGGAACAGGGCUGUCUUCAUCGUCUGAUAAAAGGAAGUGAUGUGGAGGGUCAAUAACAGAGCUUGAAGCCACCCCUUUCCCCUUGAUGUCACUACUGUCCCCCUACGUCUCCUUACUCAAGGAGGCACAUAUUGUGGCGAGAGCUGUGCCAAGGAUUGAGCUCGACUGCCAGUGGCGUGUUUGCCACCCAUAACCGCAUCCCAUUGCAUCACCAAAUUAGCAUUAUUUGGGUGUUGGAACUCCAAAUAGUGCUUGUUUAUCUAUUUGUAUGAAGAAGCUAAGUUAGAUGCACAUUCUAUGUACAGCGGUAGUAGUGCAAAAUGUAUAAGACAGAGUAUGAAUUGAAGUACAAGAAACAAAAAUAAUUCAGGUAUUUCCAAUUCUUCCAACUUUGAAUUCUGUACACAAAAUCAAUAUGAUUACAUUAGAGCAUUUUGUUUUAGUCUCGGACGAAACAAUUAGACAGUAAGCUGUUUCACCCUAGUAGAGACGCACUGUUCUGUAAUACUAUCAGAACUAGAGCAGCAGUAAAAUUCCAAUAGAUAGUAGCCUUUUUCCUACUAUGGCUUUCAAAAGCCUACUUUAAAAAGAGCUAAUGACAGAUAACAUGUGUUCUUCCAUUCUCACUUUUUCAUAAGGAAUUGGCAUAUACGUGACCAAGGUAAUUGAGAAAACUAAUUAUGUAAACGAAAGUCUAUAACUACUGCAGAAUUUCAUGGUUAAGGAAAUACAAUGGAACAUGCAUACAAUGGUCAGAAAUAACCUGGUACAAAUAAACCCACUGAUCAGCUCUAGCUUGGAAGUAUUUAUGCUCGGCAUCCUACCCUAUCCCAGUCUCAGGUUUGGCAGAAUCUCCCCGGAGAUGAGUGAACAACCUCCAUUUCUCCACCAUGCGAUAGUAUUUGGACUGGCAUUGGCUUCCAGUGCAAUCGAGCCCACACUCUUGGGUCAAGUAGUUGGCCAACGCAGUAAAGUUAGCCAACGUGCUACGAGUUGCCUCCCAUUUUCCAUUCUGCUGCCACUCCACGUAGGUGCGGACAUAAAGAUCCUCCUCUCAGGGCAGCCAAUAUUUUUUGUCAGACAUCUAUGGAAAAACCAAUAAACACAUCAGUCUUUUAUAAAUAUGUUGUAUGCACAAUAGCAGAUGAAAUAAAAUGGCAUAGAAAAUGAUAUCUUACGUCAAAGUAGUUUUGUAGGGCCUCGUGAAAGUCGUUAGAGGCACAAGAGGAAUGGGCUAUGACAGAAGAAACUGGGGCUGCGAUGGGAUUCUGUAACACAACCAAUCAACAAUAAGUAAGAAAGGUUCUACAUAUAUUGGAUUAGACUAUUGUGCGAAAUAUAGUGGUACGGCAAGGGGAAAGACUAACGACGCUUGAACUCUGAAUAUAUGAGUUGCUCACAGGCAUAAAAACUUCCUGUAGAUCACACAUACAUCAGCACAUCGUGGGUGGUUAUAGGGAAAAAAUUGACACAAAGCAUGGGUAGCAGGAUGCCCAUAAGUUCAUCAUCAGACGAAAACGAAGUUUAGAAUGCUAUCCAAAUGCAAAUAUGUUAAGAAUGAGGGAGGCCCAUAAAUUACUCACACUGUUGAACCAAUUGACGAACGUCUUCACCAAGUUUUCUAUUUCUAACUGUAAAGCAUAUUUUGUAUUCUAUGCCUAAGUCUAAAAAAUGACUGUUGUAGGCAAAUUGUUUUGACAUCUCAGCGUAACUUUAAAUAGCAAUUCGGAUCAACUAGACCGACGACUUGAAAAAUUGAAGCAUCAGGGUAGAUAAGAAAGUAAUUCCCUUCAAAAAAUUACACAACCGUGAACAUCAAUUAAUGAUUCUUCAACUGUAAUUAAACGCAUAUUUGGGAAGAAUGCUAGUCACGGAACCCUAAUUUAACAUUCAUGCGAUUCAUCAAGUACGCAGCAACUUGACAGAAAUGGGAGAAAUUUUAACAAGGAACUAUCGAAAUCAAACAUGACAAAAUUGACCAACCAAUUAGACAAGUCUUAAAAAAGAAAUUGCCGACCACUGUAUGGCAGCUUAACGGCGUAUUGCAAGGGCAAGGAAAGCAGGGAAUAUAAGAGCACUUAACUCCUUCCUUUCUAAUGCGUUGAACUUGCAAUCGAUCGAUGAAAGGUGAGCCGAAUCACAUACUACCGCGCUCCAAUUGUAGAGGCGCUUCUGUAAUUGCAGAUCGAAACCUUUGCUUCACAGAUUUAUAGAACGACGCGCUAUUCCAACCUCGCACGCGAAGUGAAAUUUGCUAUCACUUCAUGGCAGAGGAAUCAAUUCCGCCGGCGCUUGGUAGCAGUAGACUCAGUUUUCCUGAUAGUUUCCAAAGGCCUUCAUGAUGUAGUCGUUGAAUAGGUUGGAUGAUGAAGUAAUUGCUCAGCGAAAGAGCUGCUCAGCCGAAUAAGUUCUCUGACGAAGGCUUUGAUGGAGCAGCUUUCCCUUUGCUUUACUCAGACGGAAGGUGCAACGGUACAAAAUAUGUAACUGUAAGCAAGUGAAACACAGUAGAAGUGGAGGGCCCCUGUCGGUCAAGACUUGUUAACUCCGAAUCGGUACGCCAAGUAUAUGUCCACGUGGGCCUACACUUCAAGCAUCAACUAGAUUUGGUUUUGACCAUAAUGUCCAUGCUGGAACAUACGAGAUGGAAUGUACAUGUAUAUUAUUCUGGUCUACUCUUUGUUAUCCAAACACCAAUUUGACAUAUUUUUUGGAAUAAGCCAAAAAAUGCCUAUCCAAACAUACUCAUUAUCGUUUGGAUAGGGUAUUAUUUGAAAUAUUAUUUGGAAUAAUUACUAUAGCACUUUUUGUGAUAUGAUGUAUGUGAGAUAAAAAAGUGAUUGAAAAUAUAAAAAGGUGGAUUGGAAAAUAUGUUUAUGAUGCAAGCGAAAUAUUAUUUGAGAUAUUGGAACUAUCCAAACAACUUAAACACUAAACCCGAAUGAGAAAACAUAGAAUAUAAAUGCCAAAUUCAGCUUCGACAUAAACAGAAAACAGAAAAGGAAGUGCCAACCAAACCAACUUCAACUACUCUCAAUUCUAGAAACUAUUUCCCCCAUCCCGAAACCCGUGAAGUUACGUUUGGACUAAGCCUCCAUUGCGGCUUUGGCAAUCUGAACAGCUAUGUAAUUAGGAAAAGUUGCAGGUUGAAGGAAGAUUAAAAUACAAUCGGAUUGCAAAAGUGUGAUAGACUGCGUUACAAUAGAUUCCUGCAACGACUGCAUGCAUCUAUGUUGUGAUAUUGGAGAAUAUACAAAAGUCGAGGGAGUUUUUUGACCAAUGCAAUUUCUCCUUUAUAUAUAGAGAAGAAAAUGAGUUGUGUCAUAGGUUAGCAAAAUUCACUUUAAAACGAUGUAUAUUGGGAAGGGAGAGAGAUAUAGCUUGAGGAGGACAAAACGAAAUGUUCUGGACAUGCGUCAUUACAUAAUAGUCCAUAAUAACCUUCGUUUGGUUCAAAGUACAAGUGAAAAUGAAGGAGGAGGCUACUUCUCCUCAUCAUUCAUCCCACGCACAAAUCUUACUGACAGUACGUUUAGUUGAAACGGAUGGCUUCAUGCACCUAUACUACGACCGAAAUCAUGUUCAUUCUGGAAAUCAAAUCCAGAAUAAGAGAGCGAGUGAAAUCAAAUCCAUUCCGGUAUCAUUCUGGAAAGAGACUAUGUCGCGCAGCUUGUUGAGAAGAAUUUUUGCCGUGCACCUUCCAUUCCCAACUCCCAACUCCACCGCCUUCCACUACCACCAUCCACCACCAUCACCCCAUUAAACUCUUUCUUUUCGUCCUCCCCAACUCCCCACCCCACUUUACUCCUUCCCGUUCCAUCCAAUUCCGAUGGAAAUCCAAACGGCCAACUGAUCAUUUGAAGCGAAAGGAGCUCCGGUUUUUAACUAAACAAUGCCGCUGCAGAGAAGACGGAUGCGGGAAAUCUUUUAAAACUCUCAAACAACUGGAUGAUCAUUAUAAGCUUAAGCACAAGAUUGCAGAGAAACAUUUGAUUCGCUGCACAUGUGGGAGCCGCUUUCACUCAGCCCAAUCACUGUCCGAACACAAGAUGAGUGACUGCCCGGUAAAGGGUUUCAGAGAUUGGAAGCACUAUCGGAAAUAUGCUGCAAGCAACAGACAGAAAAAAUAUGACAGUCCAACAGACAGAGCUGGAUUCUUAAUUGUUCAUUACUUUACAAAAUGAUACUUAAAGUAAUGAUGAAAGGUUAAAUUGACUACAACAGUUAAAUUUUCUUGAAAGUAAACUAAUUUUAUGAAAAACUGAAAUAGAGUAUAGUACAAGCAUUUGUUAUUACCAAAAAGUUUUAGGUGAUUUAAGGAUAGAACUUUUGGGAUAUGUAUUUUUUGGAAAAAAAAAAUAUUUAGAUCUUAAAUUUAGGAUUUGCGAUAGUAAAUGGAUAAAUGGAUGGAUCAUGGUUUACACUAUCCAUUUAAAUGACAUCCAUUUAGAUCCAUUUAUUAAAUAGUUUUAAUUGAAUUGGAUCAAUUUGAUCCAUUAUCUAUUUAACUAAAAUUAUUUAUCAACCAUAUAUCCAUUUUGUCACUUCCUAGUUAUAGUCAUCAAGAAUGCAAACCCGGGACAAAUUGAUUGCUCCUUCACUUGCGGAGACCCCAAGGUACUCUACCAAACCUCUCUCUCUCUCUCUCUCUCUCUCUUCCAAAUUUUAGGCAAAAAUGCAGAACCCAUAAUUAUAAAAUCAGAUCCCGGCAAUCCUGCUACUAUGAUUUGUUGUUAUACAUUUAGACUAGCUAGCUAAGGUGUGUAUGAAUGAUUAUUCUCAGUGUUAAAAACAUAUCAAUCCAUUUUGUUUUAAUUAUUUAUUUAUCUUUGUCAAAAUCCAUUUUGUCUUAGUUUUGUACUAAAAUUAUAAUACUACUAAGUUUCAUCUGUUGUAGGCAAAAACCUUGCACCAGCUUCAUGUGUGAGAGCCGACUGCAAUGGGCAAUGGGCUUUCAGUUGUUGGAUCUCUUUUCAUAUUCACAGGAAACUAGAGGCCCAGAAAACUAGAAGCAAAAUCUAAAGCACUCUUACAUUCAUAUUCAACACUCCAUCAUCCAUCCAUCCAUCCAUCCAUCUCCAUAGGAGGAUCUCUUUUCAGACCACCAGCUGGUUUUGCAAUUAUAAUCUGUAUCGGGAAACCAGUACACAACACAUAAUCACAAUUAUUGUAAAAGAUGACGAAAACUUCUUAACGUUGAAACAUGAGAAGAACCAUUUCCAUCAUUCUGUGGGUGGAUCAAAUGCACAUGUUUUAGACCAAAAUGCAUUGCUGUGGAUUUUGAUGGAAAAUAUUGUUCUUUUUGCUGGUUGUAGCAAUAUCAAAGCAAUUGAAAAUAUUGCAUUGCACCUACUAAAAGUCAGAUGAGAUUUAUGAUCAAAAUUUCCAGCAAAGGCAUCCAUAAUUAUUAACAACAGCAGCACCGUUUAGACCCUCCUUAUGGGACCUUAGUGUCCCGAACUGAGGCAAAAUAACUACAAGAAUCUCCAACUAUACUUAAAUAUUGUGGUUAACCCAAGCCUUCUUUUGAAACUAGUGAUAGGGUAUAGUAUGAGCUUUUUAGCAUGCCCAAGAAAUCCUGUCAUCAUGCAUGACUUCUGAUCCACUUAGGAGAUCUAAGAUCUCCACACUUGGAAAGUCUCUGCAAAUUCACCUAUAUCCUCACUUAGCCCCAGUAAGGGAAACUUCUAGGCAGUGAAUUCAAAAGACAAUCACACAACCCACAAAAUAACUUGAUCAACUGAAAACCUAUACCUAAAACCAUGGCCAUCACCUACGCACCAAUUACCAAGUAAUCCUGCCAAUUAUUGCAUAUCCGCUCCAUAAACUACAUUGAAUUCUCUACCACCAAGUGAAACUCUUUCAUAUUAAAAAAAAAAAGUCAACUAAAUGCAGCAUAAACCACAAAAAUGGGUAAUUCACCACCAGUAUCAUGACAACAACGUUACAAACAAGAAAAGUAAAGAUGCCAAGAAUGUCUUACCCGGUCUACACGCAUGACAGUACAAACAGCAUCAGCAGCAUAUUUGAGAGCAAAAAACCUAUCAAUUGAAUCAAAUCCCUAGUUAAGAACCAUCUGACACUUCAUUAAAUUUGAUAUUUCAGAAUAGCUCGAGUUGCUGAAGAAUAUUCUAGAAUGCAUCAAUCCCAGGGAGAGUAAACUAAAAAGGAUCUCCUUCAUGGGCAGAAAAAAACCCAAGCAAGCAAGCACUUGAGUAUCAGCUCCAGUUUUCACAAGCUCAUGCACAACUGGGCUGCUUGGAUCUUUUGAUUAAUGUUGAGGAUCCAAUGACCAAGAUCGACAGAGCUCAGGAUCUCCAUUGAGCUUUUGUUUACGUUGCUCCACAGAAGCUAGAUUUAGUUAGGUGGUAGCCUUUAAUAUGCAUGACAUAUGCAGGUCACUAGAAAUUGCUAAACAAUCUUCUGAACAACCUUCACCAGCAAGGUUUAAUGCUUAAUCCAAGAAUGACUUUAAAAGUAAAAAUUGCUCUCAAUCUUCAAAAUUGAACCCUCUAUGCUAGAAAAAAAUUGAAUGUGGAUUUCAGCAAUAUAAGAAAAAAGCUUACUUUAUGGUAUAUGGGUCCUAUACACUGGUUGUGGAGACAUCUUUGCAGACGCCUUCCUCCAAACUAGGGGUGAGCAUUCGGUGCAAAUGCGGUAAAUCGGUGCGCUGAAUUCGGUUUUUUCGGUUAUUGCACCUAUAGAAAUCUAAACCGUUUUCAAUUUCGAAUUGGGCAUUACCGAAUUCAUGCGGUACCCGAUUUCAAAUUCGAAAACGGUAAUGAAUUCGGUCUAACCGAAUUCAUCUAUUAUUUAAAAAAAAACCUGCAGCAAAUUAAGAGAAUAUAUAAACCAAUCUUUAUAGUUCAGCAACUACCAACCCCCGCAAGCCAUUAGAUGUUUCUCUUUUACACAUUGCAGAAAAUUCAUAUCCAGAAUCCUAGGUACAACUUCUGGAGCCGUACUUUCACUAGAUGUGCACCAGAGAUUGAGAAUCUCCACGGACAAGGAGGUAAAAUUUUCAUUUUAGCAAGUUUUUUUCUUUAUAAUUUUUCUAACGGGUAAAAGGUGGAAUUUUUCCCCAAGGCCUUAACUUUUAAAGGCUGCACAACUGGAGAGAGCUUCUUGUGUAUAAAAUACAAAGCUUAUGUUAUAUCACACCUAAUCUAAACUACUACAACAGUUAGAGUUUGCAAUUGGAAGCUCAGAUUUCGUCCCCUUAUCAAUUCAGGAUAACAAAUUUCCUAGUCGAUCUUGGCCCAUUUUAAUGCCAGAGACACAGAGCCAAAAACAGAGGAGCACUUACCUAAGUGAGCCAGAGAUGAGCAGUGAUGAACCAGCGAUGAACUAGUGAGAUCUUGGUGCUUCGUCUUCGACACUCGGCAGAGAUGAACCAGCACGGCAGGACACAGCCAACAGGAGACGUAGAGCGCGGCGGACUGGCGGAGGCCGGAGAGGCAGAGAGCAGCUUCGAUUUGGGAAUUGGGACUUGGGACUUGGGAGUGUUAGUGCUGUGAAAGCCGUAGGUGACGGCAGUCACGGCACUAUGCAAUAUUGCAAAUUUGCAAUGGUUGUUUUCUCACUUUUCAA
Molecule: long non-coding RNA, 18590 nt
Filed under: Coffea arabica (coffee)
Lineage: Eukaryota; Viridiplantae; Streptophyta; Magnoliopsida; Gentianales; Rubiaceae
Description: long non-coding RNA (CARA_LNC001417)
Source: RNAcentral